CAGCACUAAGUGGGUGGUAAACUCCAUCUAAAACUAAAUAUAACCAUGAGACCGAUAGCAAACAAGUACCGUGAGGGAAAGUUGAAAAGAACUCUGAAUAGAGAGUUAAAUAGUACGUGAAACUGCUUAGAGGUUAAGCCCGAUGAACCUGAAUAUCCGUUGUAGAAAAUUCAUCAUCAAGUCUAUGAUAUUUUCAUAAAUAUUGUAUGAGUGGUGUGCACUUUUUCUACUUAAGGACAUUGUAAUCUGUUAAUGUUUGAAUGCAUAUUAUAAGAACAUAUACAAUAGUUUUUACAUUAUUUAAUUUACGUUAAAUAUGUUUAAAUGUAAAUGCUUCGAAUAUGCCAUUGACAGAUUUUUCUAUAUAUUGUACUUAAAUCUUUUGAUUUUAUAAUAAUAUGUAUCUCAUUGAUUUAUGUAUUUAUUAUAUGUACAUAUAUGAUUGACAAUGCGAAAGAUUCAGGAUACCUUCGGGACCC
Molecule: ribosomal RNA, 479 nt
Filed under: Plectanocnema nudipes
Lineage: Eukaryota; Metazoa; Arthropoda; Insecta; Diptera; Phoridae
Description: eukaryotic LSU rRNA
Rfam family: Eukaryotic large subunit ribosomal RNA
Source: RNAcentral